CAAGGUGACCGGGUGGUCGCCCAUUUGGGAGGAAAGUCCGGACUUCACUAGGAAGGGUGCUGGGUAACACCCAGGAGCUUAGCUACGGAAAGUGCCACAGAAACAAUUCUGCCAGAUAAUUACUGGUGAGGGUGAAACGGUGCGGUAAGAGCGCACCAGGCCGUCGGUGACGCCGGUGCUGGCAAACCCCACCCGAAGCAAGGCCAAAUAGGGAAACGAUGCGGACCUAGACGCGUUUCCGGGUAGGCUGCACGACUUUGUCGGUAACGGCAAAGCUAGAUAGAUGACCACCACCCUUUAGGGGUACAGGAUCCGGCUUACAGGUCGCCUUGACUU
RNAcentral lists this RNase P RNA (336 nucleotides) under Chloroflexota bacterium. RNAcentral describes it as "RNase P RNA component class A". It matches the Rfam family "Bacterial RNase P class A". From Rfam's summary of the family: Ribonuclease P (RNase P) is a ubiquitous endoribonuclease, found in archaea, bacteria and eukarya as well as chloroplasts and mitochondria. Its best characterised activity is the generation of mature 5'-ends of tRNAs by cleaving the 5'-leader elements of precursor-tRNAs. Cellular RNase Ps are ribonucleoproteins. Lineage: Bacteria; Bacillati; Chloroflexota. RNAcentral also lists the same sequence under 1 other name. The record is from RNAcentral.